AGCACCUCGAGUGGUCAGGAGGUUUAUUGGGCCUAAAGCAUCCGUAGCCGGUUGCAUAAGUUUUCGGUUAAAUCUAUGCGCUUAACGUAUAGGCCGCCGAAAUACUGUGCAGCUAGGGAGUGGGAGAGGUACACGGUACUCGAUAGGAGGGGUAAAAUCCUUUGAUCUAUUGAUGACCACCUGUGGCGAAGGCGGUGUACCAGAACACGUUCGACGGUGAGGGAUGAAAGCUGGGGGAGCAAACC
This 245-nucleotide ribosomal RNA is filed under the name uncultured crenarchaeote. RNAcentral describes it as "partial 16S ribosomal RNA". It matches the Rfam family "Archaeal small subunit ribosomal RNA", at positions 478 to 725 of the family's 1478-position model. The record is from RNAcentral. Lineage: Archaea; Thermoproteati; Thermoproteota.